GACGAACGCUGGCGGCGUGCCUAAUACAUGCAAGUCGAGCGGACCGAAGGGAGCUUGCUCCCUUAGGUUAGCGGCGGACGGGUGAGUAACACGUGGGCAACCUGCCCUGCAGACUGGGAUAACUUCGGGAAACCGGAGCUAAUACCGGAUAACACCGAAAACCGACAUGGUUUUCGGUUGAAAGGCGGCUUUUAGUCUGUCACUGCAGGAUGGGCCCGCGGCGCAUUAGCUAGUUGGUGAGGUAACGGCUCACCAAGGCGACGAUGCGUAGCCGACCUGAGAGGGUGACCGGCCACACUGGGACUGAGACACGGCCCAG
This 319-nucleotide ribosomal RNA is filed under the name uncultured bacterium. RNAcentral's name for it is "bacterial SSU rRNA". It matches the Rfam family "Bacterial small subunit ribosomal RNA", at positions 28 to 334 of the family's 1533-position model. The record is from RNAcentral.